Molecule: ribosomal RNA, 279 nt
Filed under: uncultured bacterium
Lineage: Bacteria
Description: partial 16S ribosomal RNA
Rfam family: Bacterial small subunit ribosomal RNA
Source: RNAcentral
UGCCAGCAGCCGCGGUAAUACGGAGGGUCCAAGCGUUAUCCGGAUUUAUUGGGUUUAAAGGGUCCGCAGGCGGGAUAUUAAGUCAGUGGUGAAAGCCUACAGCUUAACUGUAGCACUGCCAUUGAUACUGGUAUUCUUGAGUGUGGUUGAAGUGGGCGGAAUAUGUCAUGUAGCGGUGAAAUGCAUAGAUAUGACAUAGAACACCUAUUGCGAAGGCAGCUCACUAAGCCAUUACUGACGCUCAGGGACGAAAGCGUGGGUAGCAAACAGGAUUAGAUA